CGGACGGGUGAGUAACGCGUGGGUAACCUGCCUUGUACUGGGGGACAACAGUUAGAAAUGACUGCUAAUACCGCAUAAGCGCACAGUAUCGCAUGAUACCGUGUGAAAAACUCCGGUGGUACAAGAUGGACCCGCGUCUGAUUAGCUAGUUGGUAAGGUAACGGCUUACCAAGGCGACGAUCAGUAGCCGACCUGAGAGGGUGACCGGCCACAUUGGGACUGAGACACGGCCAA
RNAcentral lists this ribosomal RNA (234 nucleotides) under uncultured bacterium. RNAcentral describes it as "partial 16S ribosomal RNA". It matches the Rfam family "Bacterial small subunit ribosomal RNA", at positions 99 to 333 of the family's 1533-position model. The record is from RNAcentral.